GCUAAAACCUGGAGGCGUAGUGAAAGCAAAGCUUUGACGACACAGGAUCCGUCCGAAAGGGCGGCGCACUGUGGCCCCGUUCUAGUUGCUUGUCAACGGAGCGGAGGAAGAGCGUACACGUUAGGACCCGAAAGAUGGUGAACUAUGCCUGAGCAGGACGAAGCCAGAGGAAACUCUGGUGGAGGUCCGAAACGGUUCUGACGUGCAAAUCGAUCGUCAGACUCGGGUAUAGGGGCGAAAGACUAAUCGAACCAUCUAGUAGCUGGUUCCUUCCGACUGA
RNAcentral lists this ribosomal RNA (280 nucleotides) under Theristus sp. FUM003. RNAcentral's name for it is "partial large subunit ribosomal RNA". It matches the Rfam family "Eukaryotic large subunit ribosomal RNA", at positions 700 to 968 of the family's 3401-position model. Lineage: Eukaryota; Metazoa; Nematoda; Chromadorea; Monhysterida; Xyalidae. The record is from RNAcentral.